GUCUUGAUAGUUUAUUUUAAAACAUAGCGUUGAAGGUGCUAAGAAAAUUUUUUAGGUUUUAAGAUA
RNAcentral lists this transfer RNA (66 nucleotides) under Geloina coaxans. RNAcentral's name for it is "tRNA-Phe". Lineage: Eukaryota; Metazoa; Mollusca; Bivalvia; Venerida; Cyrenidae. The record is from RNAcentral.